CGGUUAAAACGCUCGUAGUUGGAUAUCUGCUAAGGGGUUCCGGUCCUUCCAAGUGGAGAAUACGCGGAACUCUUCUUGGCAUUUGUUCAGGGAAGAUGUUUGCACUUCAUUGUGUGUCAUUUGAUCUGAAUUUUUACUUUGAGGAAAUGAGAGUGUUUCAAGCAGGCUUUCGCCGUGAAUAUGAUAGCAUGGAAUAAUAGCAAGGACCGUGUGUCUGAGCUGUUGGUUUUUGGCACGUGGUAAGUUUUAAUAAGGAUAGUUGGGGGUAUUCGUAUUUAACUGUCAGAGGUGAAAUUCUUGGAUUUUUUAAAGACGAACUAUUGCGAAGGCAUUUACCCAGGAUGUUUUUAUUGAUCAAGAACGAAAGUUAGGGGAUCGAAGACGAUCAGAUACCGUCCUAGUCUUAACCUUAAACUAUGCCGACUGGGGAUCGGACGUUGUCAACUUCUGACACGUUCAGCACCCUGAAAGAAAUCUAAGUCUUUGGGUUCCGGGGGGAGUAUGG
Molecule: ribosomal RNA, 505 nt
Filed under: uncultured marine eukaryote
Lineage: Eukaryota
Description: bacterial SSU rRNA
Rfam family: Eukaryotic small subunit ribosomal RNA
Source: RNAcentral